CUUUUUAUGGUGUACCAAUAACACGCAGCCUUUUCGUGGUUGAGAGAGUUUUGCUUAAGAAGU
RNAcentral lists this transfer RNA (63 nucleotides) under Appalachioria falcifera. RNAcentral describes it as "tRNA-Glu". Lineage: Eukaryota; Metazoa; Arthropoda; Diplopoda; Polydesmida; Xystodesmidae. The record is from RNAcentral.